Molecule: ribosomal RNA, 429 nt
Filed under: Pseudomonadota bacterium
Lineage: Bacteria; Pseudomonadati; Pseudomonadota
Description: Proteobacteria bacterium partial 16S ribosomal RNA
Rfam family: Bacterial small subunit ribosomal RNA
Source: RNAcentral
UGGGGAAUAUUGGACAAUGGGCGAAAGCCUGAUCCAGCCAUGCCGCGUGUGUGAAGAAGGUCUUCGGAUUGUAAAGCACUUUAAGUUGGGAGGAAGGGCAGUAAGCGAAUACCUUGCUGUUUUGACGUUACCGACAGAAUAAGCACCGGCUAACUCUGUGCCAGCAGCCGCGGUAAUACAGAGGGUGCAAGCGUUAAUCGGAAUUACUGGGCGUAAAGCGCGCGUAGGUGGUUCGUUAAGUUGAAUGUGAAAGCCCCGGGCUCAACCUGGGAACUGCAUCGAAAACGGGCGAGCUAGAGUAGGGCAGAGGGUGGUGGAAUUUCCUGUGUAGCGGUGAAAUGCGUAGAUAUAGGAAGGAACACCAGUGGCGAAGGCGACCACCUGGGCUCAUACUGACACUGAGGUGCGAAAGCGUGGGGAGCAAACAGG